CGGAGAUUAAGCGUGUUGUGAAAUGUAGACGCUCAACGUCUGCACUGCAGCGCGAACUGGUUUCCUUGAGUACGCACAAAGUGGGCGGAAUUCGUGGUGUAGCGGUGAAAUGCUUAGAUAUCACGAAGAACUCCGAUUGCGAAGGCAGCUCACUGGAGCGCAACUGACGCUGAAGCUCGAAAGUGCGGGUAUCGAACAGGAUUAGAUACCCUGGUAGUCCGCACGGUAAACGAUGGAUGCCCGCUGUUGGUCUGAAUAGGUCAGCGGCCAAGCGAAAGCAUUAAGCAUCCCACCUGGGGAGUACGCCGGCAACGGUGAAACUCAAAGGAAUUGACGGGGGCCCGCACAAGCGGAGGAACAUGUGGUUUAAUUCGAUGAUACGCGAGGAACCUUACCCGGGCUUGAAUUGCAGAGGAAGGAUUUGGAGACAAUGACGCCCUUCGGGGCCUCUGUGAAGGUGCUGCAUGGUUGUCGUCAGCUCGUGCCGUGAGGUGUCGGCUUAAGUGCCAUAACGAGCGCAACCCCUCUCCUUAGUUGCCAUCAGGUCAUGCUGGGCACUCUGGGGACACUGCCACCGUAAGGUGUGAGGAAGGUGGGGAUGACGUCAAAUCAGCACGGCCCUUACGUCCGGGGCUACACACGUGUUACAAUGGCAGGUACAGAGAGACGGUCCCUUGCAAAAGGGAUCAAAUCCUCAAAGCCUGUCUCAGUUCGGACUGGGGUCUGCAACCCGACCCCACGAAGCUG
RNAcentral lists this ribosomal RNA (747 nucleotides) under uncultured Bacteroidota bacterium. RNAcentral describes it as "bacterial SSU rRNA". It matches the Rfam family "Bacterial small subunit ribosomal RNA", at positions 577 to 1328 of the family's 1533-position model. The record is from RNAcentral. Lineage: Bacteria; Pseudomonadati; Bacteroidota.